UGAAUCGAGCAUUAUUUACUCCUUUCACUUCGAGAAGAAAAAUAAAAAAGAUUUUUAUUCACAGAUCGUUGAAAAAGAGGAGAAGAUGCUCCUCCAUCAUUAAUU
Apis mellifera (honey bee) is the source of this 105-nucleotide non-coding RNA. The record is from RefSeq and is marked provisional. Lineage: Eukaryota; Metazoa; Arthropoda; Insecta; Hymenoptera; Apidae.